Long non-coding RNA from Cervus elaphus (red deer), 1591 nucleotides. RefSeq lists it as uncharacterized. The record is from RefSeq and is a predicted model, not a curated record. The transcript has 2 exons. Lineage: Eukaryota; Metazoa; Chordata; Mammalia; Artiodactyla; Cervidae.
CCGCCCAUGUCCAUAAGUCUGUUCUCUACAUCUGUGUCUCCUUGGCUGCCCUGCAAAUAAUUUCAUCAGUACCAUCUUUAGUUCAAGCAUUUCUUAUUCCAGUCUUACUGUGUUUAGUGUGAGACUCUUUUCAAAACUGAUAUUAAAGUAUUAUUUUCACUAUAGAAAAUUUGGAAGAUGCAGACAUGAAAAAUUUAAAAAGUCACUUAGAGUUUAAGCUAACCACUAAAAAAUUUAUUUAUUGAUUUCUAGUUUCUCUUCUUUAACCUUUUUUAUCUACGGUAAUCCUGUGUAUUCCUUUUAGUUAGAGAUUAAUUUUUAGAUUAUUCUGACUCUUACACUAAGUUACAGUUUUGGGUCUGAUACACUUACGGAUGUGCCAAGUGCUUCCUGAAUACUAUAGAACAUAAUUUAUGUUUAAAAUAAUUCCAUGCUUAUGUAGUGAGUCAGUUAUUUUAAGCUAAUUUGUUACAAAUUUCCACAACGGGGAUAUGAAUUUUGCCAAGGUUGUAUUUGUGUUUAAAUACACAUUUAAGUCCAGGUUGACAUCUUUUUUCUUGUUGGUGUAGGUACCCUGCUGACAUCCAGUGUCUCUGCAUUAGACACUAUUACUGCAGCAGCACUUGGAUCUCUCACAUCGAUUCCAGAAAAUGUGUCUACACUUGUUUCUCAGAUGUCUAAUAUGAUAUUAAAAGAACAAUUGUUAGCAGCAGAAAGUAAAACUGUACUUCAGGAAUUGAUUAAUGUACUUAAGACUGACCACCUCAGUUCACUGGGAACAGCUUUAUCCCCCACUGUGGCAUCUAUACUGGAAAUCAAUAGUCAACUGAAGAAUAUCUUCAAGACUUUGUCAACUGAGGCUAAUAAGGUAACAAAUAUUCUUAUUAUCUCAAAUUGUUAAGAAAGAAACUCCACAUGAAUUCAAGGGACCCAGGAUUUGUUAGUUGAGAAGUAUCUACAUGCAGAACUCGUGGGUUAUGAGAAGGAAUCUGGAGGAGGGAGGAGAGAGGAUGCUGUGGUCAGGAUGCUGACCGUUGAUGUGGUCAGCAGAAUCAUGGCUAAGAGAAACAAGAGGAAAUGAUCUUCAGGCAUCAUAGCAUACAUAGUGGUCUAUCAUAUGGUGUGUGUCCAUAUGUGGUUAUACAUACAUAUGUAUGCAUAUCUGCCUGAAUAUGGAUAAUAAAAUAUCUCUGCAUACGUGCUAAGUCACUUCAGUCAUGUCCGACUCUUGGCUACCCAAUGGACUGUAGCCUGCCACGCUCCUCUGUCAGUGGGAUUCUCCAGGCAAGAAUACUGGAGUGGGUUGCCAUGCCCUCCUCCACAGGAUUGUCCUGACCCAGGGAUCGAACCCACAUCUCCUGCAUUGUCAGAAGGGUUCUUUAUAACUAGGGCCACCUGGGAAGCCCCCAAAUACCUCUAGAUGUGUUUGAAAAUGGUAACAAUCCCUCCUCAGUGGUGGGAGUGGCACUGGGGUUCUAGGGGCUGGAGGGGAAAGGAAGGGACUUUUCUCUGCAAUACUGUUUUCUACCUUUUCUAUUUUAUAUGUAUUCAAAAAAGUAAAAAUAAAAAACAGAAUAUUUAAGAAAAAAAA